CAGUAGCCGCGGUAAUACCGAGGGUGCGAGCGUUAAUCGGAUUUACUGGGCGUAAAGCGUGCGUAGGCGGCUUUUUAAGUCGGAUGUGAAAUCCCUGAGCUUAACUUAGGAAUUGCAUUCGAUACUGGGAAGCUAGAGUAUGGGAGAGGAUGGUAGAAUUCCAGGUGUAGCGGUGAAAUGCGUAGAGAUCUGGAGGAAUACCGAUGGCGAAGGCAGCCAUCUGGCCUAAUACUGACGCUGAGGUACGAAAGCAUGGGGAGCAAACAGGAUUAGAUACCCCUGUAGUCCCUGUCUCUUAUAC
This 301-nucleotide ribosomal RNA is filed under the name uncultured bacterium. RNAcentral's name for it is "partial 16S ribosomal RNA". It matches the Rfam family "Bacterial small subunit ribosomal RNA", at positions 509 to 807 of the family's 1533-position model. The record is from RNAcentral.